Molecule: ribosomal RNA, 250 nt
Filed under: uncultured prokaryote
Description: partial 16S ribosomal RNA
Rfam family: Bacterial small subunit ribosomal RNA
Source: RNAcentral
UACGGAGGAUCCGAGCGUUAUCCGGAUUUAUUGGGUUUAAAGGGAGCGUAGGCGGGAAGUCAAGUCAGCUGUGAAAUGUAGGCGCUCAACGCCUGCACUGCAGUUGAAACUGGUUUUCUUGAGUGCGUAAGAGGCAGGCGGAAUUCGUCGUGUAGCGGUGAAAUGCUUAGAUAUGACGAAGAACUCCGAUUGCGAAGGCAGCUUGCUGGUCCGCCACUGACGCUGAAGCUCGAAGGUGCGGGUAUCGAAC